GGGCUCGUAACUCAGCACGGCUAGAGUGGCGGUCUUUUAAACCGUAGGUCGUGGGUUCAAAUCCCACCGAGCCCG
This 75-nucleotide transfer RNA is filed under the name Microcaldota archaeon. Its description in RNAcentral is "tRNA-Lys". It matches the Rfam family "tRNA". From Rfam's summary of the family: Transfer RNA (tRNA) molecules are approximately 80 nucleotides in length. Their secondary structure includes four short double-helical elements and three loops (D, anti-codon, and T loops). Further hydrogen bonds mediate the characteristic L-shaped molecular structure. tRNAs have two regions of fundamental functional importance: the anti-codon, which is responsible for specific mRNA codon recognition, and the 3' end, to which the tRNAs corresponding amino acid is attached (by aminoacyl-tRNA synthetases). tRNAs cope with the degeneracy of the genetic code in two manners: having more than one tRNA (with a specific anti-codon) for a particular amino acid; and 'wobble' base-pairing, i.e. permitting non-standard base-pairing at the 3rd anti-codon position. Lineage: Archaea; Nanobdellati; Microcaldota. The record is from RNAcentral.